ACACUCCUGCGGGAGGCAGCAGUGGGGAAUAUUGGACAAUGGGCGCAAGCCUGAUCCAGCCAUGCCGCGUGAGUGAUGAAGGCCCUAGGGUUGUAAAGCUCUUUCACCGGUGAAGAUAAUGACGGUAACCGGAGAAGAAGCCCCGGCUAACUUCGUGCCAGCAGCCGCGGUAAUACGAAGGGGGCUAGCGUUGUUCGGAUUUACUGGGCGUAAAGCGCACGUAGGCGGACUAUUAAGUCAGGGGUGAAAUCCCGGGGCUCAACCCCGGAACUGCCUUUGAUACUGGUAGUCUUGAGUGCGAGAGAGGUGAGUGGAAUUCCGAGUAUAGAGGUGAAAUUCGUAGAUAUUCGGAGGAACACCAGUGGCGAAGGCGGCUCACUGGCGCGAUACUGACGCUGAGGUGCGAAAGCGUGGGGAGCAAACAGGAUUAGAAACCCUUGUAGUCCCAUG
This 450-nucleotide ribosomal RNA is filed under the name uncultured organism. Its description in RNAcentral is "partial 16S ribosomal RNA". It matches the Rfam family "Bacterial small subunit ribosomal RNA", at positions 333 to 799 of the family's 1533-position model. The record is from RNAcentral.